Molecule: transfer RNA, 72 nt
Filed under: Ailuropoda melanoleuca (giant panda)
Lineage: Eukaryota; Metazoa; Chordata; Mammalia; Carnivora; Ursidae
Rfam family: tRNA
About the family: Transfer RNA (tRNA) molecules are approximately 80 nucleotides in length. Their secondary structure includes four short double-helical elements and three loops (D, anti-codon, and T loops).
Source: Rfam by way of RNAcentral
GCCUGGCUGGCUUAGUUGGUAGAGCAUGUAAUUCUUGAUCUCGGGGUGUGAGUUUGAGUCCCAUGUUGGGUA